UGAAAACGAUUAUACAGUCAUGUACGGAAAUGGUUAUGCCGAUGACUUGCUCUAAGGAUAGCAUGUUUCCCCUCGGCCACACUGGAUUACGACUGAAUUCGGUGGUGAAAUAAUUCAGAAUCUGUUGAAGAAAUUUGGUAGCAAUAUCAUAUUCUCCAAUGGAAUGCAGGAUCCAUGGAGCCGAGGAGGCGUGCUGAAGAAUAUAUCUUCCAGAAUCAAUGCACUUGUCAAAAGAAAAGGGAGCUCUUCAUGUUGAUUUCCGGUCGUCGACGAGAGACGAUCCCGACUGGCUUAUUGAACUGAGGAAACAAGAAGUCGGGAUCAUCCGAGAGUGGUUAAAUGAAUACUGUGCAGAUCUCAGACAUGAAUAAGUUGAGAC
Molecule: long non-coding RNA, 379 nt
Organism: Hibiscus syriacus
Lineage: Eukaryota; Viridiplantae; Streptophyta; Magnoliopsida; Malvales; Malvaceae
Exons: 4
Source: RefSeq, a predicted model, not a curated record